Phytophthora infestans T30-4 is the source of this 72-nucleotide transfer RNA. It matches the Rfam family "tRNA". From Rfam's summary of the family: Transfer RNA (tRNA) molecules are approximately 80 nucleotides in length. Their secondary structure includes four short double-helical elements and three loops (D, anti-codon, and T loops). Further hydrogen bonds mediate the characteristic L-shaped molecular structure. tRNAs have two regions of fundamental functional importance: the anti-codon, which is responsible for specific mRNA codon recognition, and the 3' end, to which the tRNAs corresponding amino acid is attached (by aminoacyl-tRNA synthetases). tRNAs cope with the degeneracy of the genetic code in two manners: having more than one tRNA (with a specific anti-codon) for a particular amino acid; and 'wobble' base-pairing, i.e. permitting non-standard base-pairing at the 3rd anti-codon position. NCBI's taxonomy places the organism in Eukaryota, Oomycota, Peronosporomycetes, Peronosporales, Peronosporaceae. The record is from Rfam.
GCCCUUAUAGCGUAGUGGUCGAGCGUUGGCUUUGGAAGUCACAGAUCGGUGGUUUGAUUCCACCUGGGCGCA